This is a long non-coding RNA of Ailuropoda melanoleuca (giant panda), 7337 nucleotides long. RefSeq lists it as uncharacterized. The record is from RefSeq and is a predicted model, not a curated record. The transcript has 3 exons. NCBI's taxonomy places the organism in Eukaryota, Metazoa, Chordata, Mammalia, Carnivora, Ursidae.
GACGGGGCGUGGCCAGGCGGGCACAGGUGCGCCCAGCGGGCUGGAGCUGGAGAGCAGAGGCGAAGGAGCUCCGGCCCCGCUGCGAGAGGUGGGCACCCGCAGCUUCCCCACUCGGGCGCCCCCACCAGCAGUGCUGGGGAGUCGCUGAGGGACCCAUUUCACAAACAGGAAGACCGGUUCAGGAUGAAACCCCAAAGGGGAUGGUGUUGCUGUGCUGUUGAUUACAGAGAGGCAAGGCCCCUGUCCUGAGCCCAGCCAGGCCCUGGGAGGCCCCCACAAGGAGGCGGAGGGGGCUGGCCCAGGUCCACUCCGGGCAGCCCCUUGGUUCCCGGGCCACUGUGCACCCCAGCCCGGGUCAGUGGGGCCCUCUCUGGGCCCCGAAGAAGCCGCCCACACACCCCGCGGGGGAACCAGGGCUGAGUGGACACAGGGUGACCCGUGGCUGCGUCCUCCUGUGCCCGGGGCCGACUCCUCCCAGUGCCUGCGUCAGCCCAGGAAUGUGCCUGACCUGCACCUCCCCCACCCCACCCGUGUGCCCCAGCCCCCACUUGUCUUCCCUGUCAGGACUUCAUUGGACGCUUGGCCCCCCCUGCCCCCGGAAGACCUGGCUCUGGAUCCCAGCAGAGGGUCCACACGGGGGUCUGUGAGGCUCUGUCCCCAACCCCACGGUGACUCAGUUGCCUGGAUGUGGGUUAUGGGGGGGAUGGCCUCUCCUGGGCCUCAGACUUCCCAUCUGGAUGGUGGACAUUUGGCCAGACCCCAAUUCUCCUUCCUCCAGACUGCGGAGGAGAACAGACAAGCCACGGUGCCUGAGCCCACAGGCCGGGACCUGGGAGGAGGCGGAAGGAGGCACCAGCGGUGGCUGGAGCCUGCCUGCCAGAGUGACCACCACACAUGUCCGGACGUGACCUGCCUUGUCCACACGGGCCAGCGGGCUGCGUGCACACACACAUGAGUGUUCGCCUGUUCACAAAGCUCACCCGCUGCUGUCUGAGCCGGAUGCGGGCUGACCAGCCACUGGGGAGCUCUAGGAUAGCCUCCCAGCCAGCUUGGGCCGCUCUAGGCUCCUGGGCCCUGGGGCACCCACGGCGCGGCCCCCAGCCCCGGGAAGCCCCUCGGCAGCACACAGCUCCACCUGGGGGGCAGCAGGAGUGAGCACGGAGGCAAGACACAGGGUAUCUCCUGGCCAGAGCCCUCCCUUCUCUGCCUUCCUUUCCCGGGGUCACUUUCUGGGAACAGGGAAGCAGCCCUGAGGUGGAAGCUGGUCCAGCCACUUCUCUUGCUCUGUCCAGACCACCUCUCGCCGGGGCUGGGGGACAGGGACAGGGCAGGCCCUCCUGCAGUGGGCCCUCUGACCUCCCCCAGUCUGCGUUGGAGCCUAGACUCAGCCGGGGGGCGGGCAGCCCAGACUACAGCAGCCCCAAACCCUUCUUCCUUUAGCUGUCCUCCAUUCCCCCCACCUCCCAGCAUGUGAUAAGGCAGGAAAGUCCUCCAGCCCAGGGUCGUGGCUCAGAGUCACCAGACUGUCCCCUUCCUCCCUCACAGGCUUGGCCAGCAGCCCCUGAAUACUGACAUUCCCCAGUGGACACCACUUCCUGAGCCCGGGUCCCUGGGGCCUCCAUGCUCUGACUCUGCCACGUGUUGGGAUCCAAGUGCCCAGGUGCCUCUCGGCACCCACCCCAGUCUGGCACUGGGGACACUUUGGGAGCCAGACCUGGGUCCUUCUGGCAAAAGCCACAGUGAGGGGAGUAUGGAAGGCAGCACAGGCUGGAGGGGGCCUUCUGGGGCUCCUCUGAUGGACUUGCCCUGCCCUGUCCAGCUCCCCUUCCAGCCUGUGGCCGCCAUGAUCUGCCUCUGCUCACAGGCCUGGGGCCACCCCCAGCAGCACGGAAAGGAGGGGGCCAGCUGAAGCAUGAGUCCAGGGAGCCUUGGGCGCCAACUCGCGUCCCCCGGGUGCUGCGGACCACACAGGCCUCGGCCAGAGCGAAUCUCGUCCUUCAUGCACGAGCAGAACUUUGGGCCAGGCUGGACUUUCCUUGGAACCGCUGGCACUACCCCCAGGGCCCAGCGGAGACUCUCUCCCUGGCUGUCUUUUCCUGGUCCAUUAAAGGGAGGACCCCCAGGGCCUGGGGCACACAGGCUCAUCAGCUCUGCGCUGUGUGGGUGCCAGGGGCUGUCAGGGAGGGGCCAGAGCGAGCCUGACCUGAAAUCAUUGCCCAUGUUGCCGGUGUCUCUCCCAGCCUGACCUGUUCUUGGGUGGAGUUCACGCCCUGGCAGUGACUCUCGUGUCUGCUUGGCUGGGCUGCUUGUCACCCCGGGCUUGCCCUGCCCCCGUGGGCCACUGCUGUGGUGGCUGUGAAAGCAGCGCCCACCAGGGGCUGAAGGGGGCGUGCGCUGAAGGGGGCAUGCGUGAGCGUGCUGAGCACAGGCCAGCAUGCAGCAGGCACUCACUAGAUGCGCAUCUCCAUGGCCGUGCUGUGUCCUGAGCUCAUGUUUGCUGGGACGGGCCCUGCGGGGCUCUGUGCUCUGCAGACUCUGGGGAUCCAUCUGUAGGGUUCCUCCAUAGCCUGAGUGUGGUCUGAGUGGCCCAGGCCACAGCCCAGGGACUGUCCCCAGACAACGUCAUCACUGCUGUAGGCCCUGGGCCCCAAGGCCCCCGAAUCCCUCCGGGACUCAGGACACCAGCCCCUCCCCCUCCAAACGGCACAGCUCUGGUCCAACCCUUGGCUCUACUGUGGCCCCGGCCUGCACCCUGGCAGGCACAGGUGCUGAGAGCCCCCCACACCCUCCCUCUGUUCUCUGUCAGCCUCGGAGACUCAGCCAAGCCGGGCCUCCUCCUCCAGGAGGCCCCCACAGGGGACCCACUGCCCACACAGCUCCUGGACUGGGGCCAGCGAGAGCUGCACGCAAGUCAGAGGCAAACACAGGCUCAGCCAGCUUCCGGCUCCUCGGGGUCCCCCUCAUGGCCCCUCUGCCUCUCCUCCUCGUCCGCGUGCUGGAGGUUGGAGCAGAGCGGGGCGAGGGGCCUGUCCAGCCUGGGCACCAACGGCACAGGCUGCUGGACUCUCCGUGGCUAGAUUCUGAGAGGCUGCAGGCAGGGUGUGGAGUCCUCGCAGAGGGCCGCACCACCGCCCUGGCCCUGUGGACGGGCCUCCAGGUCACGCAGGAGGGGCCUGGGGCUGCCCUCUCCUAGUCCCAGCCAGCCGGGGCUCUUUGGCCUUGAGGGUCUCAGCGUGGUGGGGGUGGAGCUCCCAGGGUGUACCGGGCCUCCCCGUCCCAGGAAAACCCUGGACUCUCUGGAUGAAACCCAGGGCUUGCACCCAGGACAGCAGCCAGACCCUCCACAGCCACGCCUAUGAGAAGCCUACUGUGUGCACGGAAACCCUCAUGCGCCUCUCACCGGAUCCUCCUCCCGGGCCCAUCCAAGGGUGGUCCGAGUCCCCACAGAUGGGGAGGUCCAGGCAAGGAGAGGUUGGGGAUGUGCCCACGGUUUUGGCGUGGAUUAGUGGCAGAGCAGGGACAUGGCCUGACUGGUGGGUGGGCCAGGCUGAGGCUCCUCAGCUUGGGUUAGAAGGGAAGGCCCCGCGGUGGAAGGAAUUGGGGUGGGGGGCAGGAAGGGAAGGCCAAGAGGCGUGAAGGCUCAGCUAAGCGUCCGGGAAGCUGGUACAGCGCACACUGUGUGUACCACAGGGCUGCCCGAGCCUGACCCCAGGCCAGAGGUCUGUGAGGAGAGGACUCCUGUGUGGAUGCUCCCACUGCCAAGGCUGGCUUUGGGGUCUCCGGUCCUGCUGCGCUUGGGUCCGCUCUGCUGGGGACCUGGCCUCUCUCCAGGUUAGGCCUGGACGCUCCCUGGGCUUCUUCGGUUUUUCAGGAUCUCCUUGGCCGAGGGUGCAGUUAGCCGUUGCCAGGCCUCAGUGGCUUGUGGGAUAAACACUCUUCGGUGGCAGUAGGUGGGGUGUCAAGCUCACGAAUGCAGGCUGGCCCCGACCAAGGGUCAGGCCAGGCUGGGGUCUCCUGGGCAGGGAGGCCAGAGUUCACGCAGGCCACUGCUGCCCGCUGGCUCCCACUGAUUUUCACCCCACCCCAGCCCGGGCCCUACCCUGGGUUGCCUUUGGGAAAUGUUGCAAAACCCUGGCCCGGUUCUGCUGGCUCCCCUCCCUAGCGGGUGAGAGGCCACGCGGAGGUGAGGCGAGUGGAGGCCAGAGGGAAGGCCCUCCCCGCCUCGCCAGGCUGCAGCUGUGUGUCCGUGCUGGAGGAGGGGCAGGGCAGCCUUGCGGUGCUGCUCGCUGGCUGGGCCAGAGUCUCAGAGUUCUCCGGGCCCAGCUGGGGGCCGGGGCAGGAGUGGGCGCUGGUGCAAAGCUGACACUGUCUGGGAGCCAGAAAGCCAGGCAGGCUGGGGAGAGGACAGACCCGGGAAGGCCGAGGGUUCCUGCAGUGGGGGUGGAGGCCAGAGGGGCUGAGGGUGAGGGCUGUGACUGUGGGCCAGGUCACUGGGCCUCACCUGAUGGCCAGCCCUGGGGGCAGGGGUGGCAGCACAGUCAUGGAGGGUGGGCGCUGGGAAGACUGGUUGCAGAGGAAGUGGCUACUGGCCUGGCUGAGACUGGGCACAGGGAGGGAUGCCAAGAGGAGCACAGGUGGGCUGGUGGGGGGACGCUGGGGAGAUGGGACAGAACCACGGGCCUUGGCAAUGGAUGGGGGAAGAUGAGGGACCCUCCAGGCCUGGCCUAGGUUGAGGGAUAUGAAGAGGCCAGGGCUGGGCUGAGCACGCCUGCAGGAUGUUAGGGGCAGCUGGAAAAGGGCAGAUUGAGGAGGCCUUAGUUGUUGGUAUGGGGCCUGGUGCAAACAAGACUGCCAGGGGAUGGGGAAGAAGGCCCAGGGCAGGCCUGAGACCCAGGAAGCCAGGAGGCCUGAGGAUCCGGGGAAGCGUGGGGAAGCAUUCCCCCAGUGUGUGCCCUCUCUCCUCAUUCCCAGCUGCAAUGAUGCCCAGCUCUGUGGGUGUGUUCAGACACGUGUGAGAGUGCGUGUGUGUACAUGUGUGAUGUGGUAUGCACAAGUGUACGUGUGAGACACAGACGGGUGGGUGACCCAGGCCAUCUUCAGCUCACCCCCCCUCCUCCCUCGUUGUCCCGGAGACCAGCCUGGCUCCAGCCACCAUGGCAACAGUGCAGCCCCUCCCUCCAGCAGGAGAGGGUGACCUACGGGGCCAGCUGUUUCCAGGGCCACGGGGCAGUCAGGGGUCCUCUGGUAGACUCUGCCCUGCUCUCCACGUCAGGAAACAGCUGCCUGGAGAGGACAGGAACUUGAAGAGGCACCUGGGUCUGGUGCAAGGCUGCCCCUCUCAGCAGGAAGGCCCAACGCAUGGAGAUGUCCACAGCACAGUGGCCUGAGCCCCAGACACCUUGAAGUGUGACGGGAGGCCAAGGGACAGGGCCUGGCUCUCUGUGGUCAGUGGUGCAGCAGGAUAAGGACGCAGCACCUCAACCCCCGUUGGGACCACUGCUGGUGGCCUCCCCCAGCCAUGUGCAGAGGUGUCCCCGGCCCUGCUGCUCACGGACUUGCUGGGCUGGGCCACACCUGCUUGUGGGCUCCACAGCCUACCAUCAGAGCUCGAGGGGCUGCCGGCAGAACACACGCACCACCUCUUUCUGAAGAGGUGUGAGUGCAUGCUGCUCUGAGUUUGGGGAGACUCAAGGUCUUCAGAUCAAAACUCAGGAGCUGGGGAGGGCGCUCCCCAGGAUGCUGGCUUCCCAAGGCCGACUUCCAAGACCAGGGUGGUCCCACUAGGCACACAGGGCACGUGAGGAGGACUGGCCUGGAGGCUCACACGAGGGGCUGGGGUACCACUAGGUAGGCCACUGGAGACCUCAGUUCCUGUCGAUGGAGUCAGGCCUGCCUCAGAACCACAUCUUGCCAUGGUAAUCACCUAGACCCAGAAGAGCCUCCCUCAUUCCCACCCUCCCCUGCCCCAGCACAGGCCAUAGGUCCGGAAACAGCUCGUUCUCUGGGGAGGCAGGCUCUGGGACCCUCUGCUGGUUCUCGGAAGGUCCCGCAAGUGGACGAUACCCCCUCCUCUCUUGUAGGUGCUGUGUGGAUUCAGCCAAAGGGGUGGGCUCCUGCCGCCUACCUUGGCUCAGACCCCCUGGGGGACCCUGCCCUCACAGGCCCCUGCUGCAGGAGGAUGGGGAUAGAGCUCCUGGGAAGCCAGAACCUAAGAGCUUUCUGACCUGGGACAGGAACAUUGUCGGUGAAGGGCAGUGACGGGGUGGAGCUUGGGGGAGGCUGGGUGUCCGAGCGAGCGAGCCAGCAGGCCCCUCAGGCAGGUGAGUGUGUUUGGGGCACACCUGAAGGCUGUAGCUGCCACAGUUAGACCCCAGCCCGGCCCGCAGGCACCACAAAGGCCUCACACAGCACCCGCAGCGCCAGCACCUUGGCCUCCCGGCUACCCCAACCCUCAAACCUCUGUGAGAUACGGAAGGAGCCCCCCGGUGUAUGGCUCUUCCGUGGCUACUGCAGCGGGCAGACAGCGGCUCACAGCGAGCAGCUCAGGCUGAUGACCUUGGGCCGAGGUCAGCACACCUAAGGGCAGACCGCGCCCCACAGGUGAUUCUGUGUAGUACUGAAGGUCCAAGGGGACCUAGGCUGUCUCGGGCCCCGACUGCCGUGGUCAAGGCAGAGUCCCUAGUGAAGGCGGCCAGCCGCUGGGCCUGGAGAACAGCCAGAUGGGUGGAGAGCAGGGCCGGGUGCUCCAGGUAUGGGGACAGCAGAGCAAAGGUUCCAAGGAGGGGGAGGCGUGGCCAGGUGGGGACCUCGGGCUGCGGGCUUGAGGUCAGUCAAGCCCCGGUCAGAACGGCGGCCCCGGGGUGAGCAGAGGGCGCCCAGGGCAGGGUCAACUUUUAGCCCACGCCAGGGGCUGCGAGUCCCCGAGCGCGGACGCUCAGCCGGGUCCCCGCGGGGGCGAUACCGCCUCCGCGCGCUCGGCCAGCUGCGCGCGAGGGUGCGCGGACCGCCAGAGACCCACUCGCACGGCCCGAGGCACACGGGGGACGCCUCCGGGACUCCCGCCUCAGCUCGGGACCCCGCGUUCACGACAGCCCGCGCGAUCGAACCGCCCGCUCCGGGAACGGCUGAGGUGGGCGCGCGUUCCGCCGGUGACCUUCCCCGGCACGGCCUGGGGCGGGACUGGAGAGGCCCCGCCCCGCCCACGCGCCGCCAUUGGCUGGGACUUAGGGGCCCUUUGGAAACCCCGGCUACCAUUGGCUCCCGCGACCCCGCCCCACACGCCUCGGCCACCGCCCGCGCAGGACCUGCGCGUGCGCGGUGUGUGUGUGUGUGCGCGC